GAUCCUGGCUCAGAUUGAACGCUGGCGGCAGGCCUAACACAUGCAAGUCGAACGGUAACAGGAAGCAGCUUGCUGUUUCGCUGACGAGUGGCGGACGGGUGAGUAAUGUCUGGGAAACUGCCUGAUGGAGGGGGAUAACUACUGGAAACGGUAGCUAAUACCGCAUAACGUCGCAAGACCAAAGAGGGGGACCCUCGGGCCUCUUGCCAUCGGAUGUGCCCAGAUGGGAUUAGCUAGUAGGUGGGG
Molecule: ribosomal RNA, 246 nt
Filed under: uncultured bacterium
Lineage: Bacteria
Description: partial 16S ribosomal RNA
Rfam family: Bacterial small subunit ribosomal RNA
Source: RNAcentral